UAUUAUAAUAUUUUUUAAAUAAAAAUAAAAUAUAUCAAAAAUCUCCUAAAUCAAAAUCCUCCUCUCCUAGCAUCUCGUCAUCACUGAGAGGGGCUGAAGCAGGAUCGGAAGGGGCUAUAGUAGGAGCUGGAGGGGCUAGGGCUAGGGCUAGAGCCAGAGGGGCUGGAGUUGAAACGCUAGCCAACAUGUCUUGAAUACUCAAAAAAUCAGUUCUAAG
This 217-nucleotide long non-coding RNA is filed under the name Elaeis guineensis (African oil palm). RNAcentral describes it as "long non-coding RNA (EGUI_LNC054080)". The record is from RNAcentral. Lineage: Eukaryota; Viridiplantae; Streptophyta; Magnoliopsida; Arecales; Arecaceae.